GCUGCCAAGAAAGACCGAUUCGGAGUGGGUUAUCAGCCGGGCCGAGGCUCGUCAGGACAGGGUAAAGGACGUCGUCCGUCAUUCACAUUCACCAGUGCUGGAAUGCUGGAUCCAGAUCACAUCUGUAUGGUGGAUGAAGAAGUUGACAGUGAGUGCGAGAUUGAUCGAUGGAUAAAGCCGUGCGCGCCAGGGAUGGGAGUUCAGAACUGGAAGGCUGAAAAGAUCAUCACUGUC
This 234-nucleotide long non-coding RNA is filed under the name Lathyrus oleraceus (garden pea). RNAcentral's name for it is "Pisum sativum (pea) long non-coding RNA (PSAT_LNC035400)". Lineage: Eukaryota; Viridiplantae; Streptophyta; Magnoliopsida; Fabales; Fabaceae. The record is from RNAcentral.